Long non-coding RNA from Cephus cinctus (wheat stem sawfly), 890 nucleotides. RefSeq lists it as uncharacterized. The record is from RefSeq and is a predicted model, not a curated record. NCBI's taxonomy places the organism in Eukaryota, Metazoa, Arthropoda, Insecta, Hymenoptera, Cephidae. The transcript has 3 exons.
AUAACUUAUCAGAUAGAUAAUCCACAAACAAUUUCACGACAGCAGUACAAAGCACGUUAACAAUAAAGAGUUACAAUUGUCGGCGCAACAGAAUCGCCAGAAUAUCGAUGCGACUUUCAAGUCUACGAUAAUAAUAACUCAGCUAUUCACUAUGUUCAACGAUAAACGCGAACCGCUCCACGAUCAGGAGGGAACUGAACUGUUCGGCGAACGUCUCGUUCAGCAGGAGCUGCGAUUCGCUCCGCCUGACUCAGAAACUGCAGGACACAACACGCCAGCCGUUGUGUAGUCUGGCUGGAUAGCUGCAGGCUUGAGGUCUCUGUGGGAGUCGCCGACUGUGGAGAUUCGGUCAAAUGAUGGAAGCCGAGGAUGGUAGUACCAGCCACGAGAUACGUUCUCUACUACCAAACGACCAAGUGCAUAUAUAUAUAUAUAGGAUAUAUAUACAUAAAACAAAUAGUGUACAGUUGAAAUACAUAGAACAGAGUAUGGGACAAACCACCAAGGCUGAAUGAUACUUAUGACUUUGCUGAUCCCUCAUGGGAGGAUGACAAUCGUGCAUAGAUUUAUCACUGAUAUAUGUUUUAGUAAACAAAGUCAAAUGGAUAUAUAAUGGAUUUACGAGAUUUACGCAAGGCGGUGGGUGUAUCAGCGUGGAUGUCGCGCAUUGAUGAAGAACCAUGAGCUUCAAUGAAAAAUGACUGUGACAGGAUAAAGGAUAGAAUCCAAAUAGAAAUUCAAACCGGUUGACACAGACAGAAUGUCACCCCUGCAGUGUCACUAUUUUUAGUAUCCGUAACUUUAUUCUUUCCUUCGUUAACGAUGAGACAUUACCUAAGAAAUUGAAGAUUAGAUCUGUUUGAUUAUAAGUAAUAAAUUUUUUCAAAGGA